RNAcentral lists this ribosomal RNA (650 nucleotides) under Inocellia sinensis. RNAcentral describes it as "16S ribosomal RNA". It matches the Rfam family "Bacterial large subunit ribosomal RNA", at positions 1700 to 2700 of the family's 2925-position model. Lineage: Eukaryota; Metazoa; Arthropoda; Insecta; Raphidioptera; Inocelliidae. The record is from RNAcentral.
UAAAGAUAAGGAAUUCGGCAAAUAUAAUUGUUCGCCUGUUUAUCAAAAACAUGGUUUUUUGUUUAUAAUUUAAAAUUUAAUCUGCCCACUGAUUAAUUAAAGGGCCGCAGUAUAUUGACUGUGCAAAGGUAGCAUAAUCAUUUGUUUCUUAAUUGUUGACUUGUAUGAAUGAUUGGACGAGAUAAUUACUGUCUCAUUUUUAUUUAAAAUAAAAUUUUAUUUUUAAGUUAAAAAGCUUAAAUAAAAUUUAAGGACGAGAAGACCCUAUAGAGUUUAAUUAAUUUAGUAAAAAUUUUUAUUACUGAAUUUAAAUUAUUUUUAUGAUAAUUAAUUUAAUUGGGGUGAUUAAAAAAUUUAAUAAACUUUUUAAAUAUUUAUUCAAAAAAUUUUGUUUAAUUUUGAUCCAAAUUUUUUGAUUAGUUGAUUAAAUUACCUUAGGGAUAACAGCGUUAUUAUUUUGGAAAGUUCAUAUUUAUAAAAUAGUUUGCGACCUCGAUGUUGAAUUAAGAUAAAUUUUUGGUGCAGUAAUUAAAAUUUUUAGUCUGUUCGACUAUUAAAUUCUUACAUGAUUUGAGUUCAAACCGGUGUGAGCCAGGUUGGUUUCUAUCCUAAAUUAUAUAAAAUAUUUUAGUACGAAAGGACCAUAUAUU